AGGAUUUGACAUCCUGCGAAUCUCUUGGAAACUUGAGAGUGCCUUCGGGAACGCAGUGACAGGUGGUGCAUGGCUGUCGUCAGCUCGUGUCGUGAGAUGUUGGGUUAAGUCCCGCAACGAGCGCAACCCACGUCUUUAGUUGCCAGCAUUUAGUUGGGCACUCUAGAGAGACCGCCGGUGAUAAACCGGAGGAAGGUGUGGAUGACGUCAAGUCAUCAUGCCCCUUACAUCCUGGGCUACACACGUACUACAAUGCUACGGACAAAGGGCAGCAAGUUCGCGAGGACAAGCAAAUCCCAUAAACCGUAGCUCAGUUCAGAUCGUAGGCUGCAACUCGCCUACGUGAAGG
This 349-nucleotide ribosomal RNA is filed under the name uncultured bacterium. Its description in RNAcentral is "bacterial SSU rRNA". It matches the Rfam family "Bacterial small subunit ribosomal RNA", at positions 976 to 1325 of the family's 1533-position model. The record is from RNAcentral.